RNAcentral lists this transfer RNA (77 nucleotides) under Candidatus Planktophila sp. RNAcentral describes it as "tRNA-Ala". It matches the Rfam family "tRNA". Rfam says of the family: Transfer RNA (tRNA) molecules are approximately 80 nucleotides in length. Their secondary structure includes four short double-helical elements and three loops (D, anti-codon, and T loops). Further hydrogen bonds mediate the characteristic L-shaped molecular structure. tRNAs have two regions of fundamental functional importance: the anti-codon, which is responsible for specific mRNA codon recognition, and the 3' end, to which the tRNAs corresponding amino acid is attached (by aminoacyl-tRNA synthetases). tRNAs cope with the degeneracy of the genetic code in two manners: having more than one tRNA (with a specific anti-codon) for a particular amino acid; and 'wobble' base-pairing, i.e. permitting non-standard base-pairing at the 3rd anti-codon position. Lineage: Bacteria; Bacillati; Actinomycetota; Actinomycetes; Candidatus Nanopelagicales; Candidatus Nanopelagicaceae. The record is from RNAcentral.
GUGGACGUGUUGUAAUUGGCAGCAUAUUCAUUUUUGCCAAAUAAAUGGUACGGGUUCGACCCCCGUCGUUCACACCA